GAAGCUCAAGCGGAGCCCGCUGGCCGCAGGGGCCGCACCACGCCCCAGACCCUGGAGUUUCCGGGUGCGCAGACCCUUGCCAUCAGCAGAGGCUGCCGCUGCGCGUCCCCUAGGCGCGGAAGAGGCGGCUGGUGGUCCCUGACGGCAAGGUUUUAUACAUUACGAAUAAAGCUGGCACGUUUCCAUUUCUCCUGGGCAAAUAUUUAGAAGAAAAGUUGCUGGGUAAUUGGUGGAGACAAGGUUUCGCCACAUUGACUGGGCUGGUCUGGAACUCCUGAGCUCAAGCAACCGGCCCUCCUUGACCUCCCAAAGUGCUAGGAUUACAGGUGUGAACCACCGUGCCCGGCCCUACUUUCUAUCGAAGUAGAAUAGGUAGAUCACAUUAUUAUUAACAGUAUAUGGGAAGAGGGAGGUCCUCCCAUGUUACAUUGUUCUCCCUUCACCUUCUGGGUCAUGUUGCACCACUGUUUCCCUUCUAGUCAUAUCCCAGGGGGCCUUGUCCCAUUUAUACAGCUCUAUUCUAGUGGUCACCAGAGGAAUGGGAGUAAUCUGAUUGAAAGAUAAGACAGAAGAUUGUACUCUCUUUUUUUUUUUUUUGAGACAGAGUCACCCAGGCUGGAAUGCAGUGGCAUUGUCAUGGCUCACCGCAGUCUCAAACUCCUGGGCCCAAGUGAUCCUCCCACUCAGCCUCCUGAGUAGCUGGGACUAGAGGCACAUGCAACCACAUGCAGCUAUUUUUUUUUAAAUUUUCUGUAGAGACAGGGUCUCACUGUGUUGCUCAGUUUGUCUCAAACUCCUGGGCUCAAGUGAUCCUCCUGCCUUGGCCUCACAAAGUACUAGGAUUACAGGCAUGAGUCACCACACUCAGCUGAACUCUACUCUUUAUGUUCAGGAAAGCACUGGAGAAGAGAGAGGACAAGAGAAACAGGUCCGUAGUGACAGGAGCCUAGGAAUAGAGCAGGCCUUCAGUCUUGGUGAAAAAAUAAAUGGUAUUCUAAGCCUUC
Molecule: long non-coding RNA, 1004 nt
Filed under: Homo sapiens (human)
Lineage: Eukaryota; Metazoa; Chordata; Mammalia; Primates; Hominidae
Description: ZNF529 antisense RNA 1
Source: RNAcentral